GCAAGUCAGGGGGAGGAUGCCUUCGGGUAUUAGUACACCGGCGCACGGGUGAGUAACACGUGAGUAACCUGCCUGCAUGACUGGAACAACUUGCCGAAAGGUGAGCUAAUGCCGGAUAAUGUAUAUGUAAGCAUUUAUGUAUAAGAAAAGUUGGGGUAACCUAACGCAUGUAGAUGGACUCGCGUCCCAUUAGCUAGUUGGUAAGGUAGAGGCUUACCAAGGCGACGAUGGGUAGCCGACCUGAGAGGGUGAUC
Molecule: ribosomal RNA, 254 nt
Filed under: uncultured bacterium
Lineage: Bacteria
Description: partial 16S ribosomal RNA
Rfam family: Bacterial small subunit ribosomal RNA
Source: RNAcentral